UACGAGUGCUUCGAGCGUUAUCCGGAAUCAUUGGGCGUAAAGGGUGUGUAGGCGGUAGUGUUAGUCUCGUGUAAAAUUCUUCGGCUUAACCGGGGGCUCGCACGGGAAACGGCACAACUAAGAGGACGGAAAAGGUCACUGGAACUCAUGGUGUAGCGGUGAAAUGCGUUGAUAUCAUGGGGAACACCAAAAGCGAAGGCAAGUGACUGGUCCGCUCCUGACGCUGAAACACGAAAGCGUGGGUCGCGAAUGGG
This 254-nucleotide ribosomal RNA is filed under the name uncultured bacterium. RNAcentral describes it as "partial 16S ribosomal RNA". It matches the Rfam family "Bacterial small subunit ribosomal RNA", at positions 524 to 776 of the family's 1533-position model. The record is from RNAcentral.